CAUCCAAACAGACGUCCUCCUCUUCUAAAUAUGGCACCCUCUUUGCUGCAAACAAGAGAUUCUAAAAACGCAAGGUGCCUGACCUAUAAUGUGUCAAACCAAUUUACUUAUUAACUUUAAUAGUAUUAAAAACGCUUCUCCAGUGCUUCAAAGUGGCAUUCAGCAAUACAUCUGGUUAAUUGUAUGGCACUUCCCCCUUUUAAUCAAAUUGAGCUUCCAUUUCCUCAAUACCCGAGAGUGAAGUUAUUUCUGAAAUGUGGUUAAUUACACCCACCCAACAAUACAGUUAGGCUCCCAUUUGACAGCGACAUCGAAGUCCACGCUCGACUCGGAGUUUUAAAAUCAUUAAGUAAAGCGACUCAGUCCAGAAGGACAAUCGUGAAAACUGGACCGGAUCGGACUGGGGUGGACGAUCGGGAACAUCUGCACCAGUGAACAGAUUCCGCUGUUCUGUGAUGGAAAGCGGGUUGGGAGUAACAGUCAGGAAAGUCUUUUAAGUAACGGAAUUCUAAGCCGCUGACUUUCCUGGUGGGCUGAUGAAACCACAAGCAACAAUCAAUGCUUGUAUAACUGUCACUGCGUGCUAGACAGAGGCAUAUGAAAGGCGCUAUAUACUAAUCGGGGACAGCAGGAUGUGUAUUCGGAACAUACACACCUUCUGUAACAGAAGGAAAACAUGAGGCAGCUGCAUUCAACUCCCAGUCUGCUGCAUACAAACAAACAUGGAGCUGUCGAAGCGCUUUGUGCAGCUGCCGACCCUCUCGGGCGAGCGAGCGAGCGCAUUUAGUGUGUAGCGGACAGGGCGCGGCGCGGCGCGGCGCUUCUGCAUCUGCGUAUUCUUCAGGAUCGUCGUUUUCUUCUCAAAUGUUUUUGAACCCGUAUACGUGCGCUAGGACGGUGAAAGCCGAACAAUUACUCGGUGCAAAUGGAAUUCCGGUUCGCAAUUUUCAACAGAGACGCCGAAGAGAGACGCACCGGUAAUACUGGACGGACGGGUGCGUGGCGAAAGGAACCGAGAAACGCGUGGGAUCUGUGACAUCGCUGUGCAUGAGCGCCGAGCAAAGUUCACAGACUAUAAAGAAAGCAACCAUUCACGAGAAAUUCCGCCUGGCCCUAUUGACGUCACUUCCGGCGAAGAACCCAUGACUGAAGAGACUUCCUGUUCCAGCCCUUUUGAUGACGUCAAGUCCAGGUGAGUGUUGCCCACUGCCUACCAACUCUGACUCCCCCAGGUGAAGCGGUGGUCUUCUUUUAAAUUGGAUCCGGGACUGUUUCUGCUACCAUGGUGUGGGUCAACCAGAGCACUUGUGGGUCAUGAGGACACCAGGGCAGUCCUCCCCUGACAGUACCCUCUUGUGGCACUCAUGGAGCCCAACAGGGCUGUACUUCUGGACUCCAAUUCCCAUGCCACACUACAGGUGUCCUAAUUGGGAUCAGCCCAGCAGAAGACUGACACUUGCUGUGCAGGGAAAUUAAAUGCUACCAGCAUCCAUGUUCCCCCAGUCCAUCCAUUACUCUUCUCUCCCUGUCAUGAUGAAGAUGGUAAGGCAUUAUGGCCAGUUUACAUCUCCACUCCCUCUGUCCUUCCAUUAUGGUCUUCUGGCCAGGCAAGAAAUCAUUGUCCUAGGGUGGGGAUCGAUCUGUUCUUAACUC
Molecule: long non-coding RNA, 1653 nt
Organism: Polypterus senegalus (gray bichir)
Lineage: Eukaryota; Metazoa; Chordata; Cladistia; Polypteriformes; Polypteridae
Exons: 3
Source: RefSeq, a predicted model, not a curated record